GUAGGGUCCAAGCGUUAAUCGGAAUUACUGGGCGUAAAGCGUGCGCAGGCGGUUGUGCAAGACCGAUGUGAAAUCCCCCGGGGCUUAACCUGGGAAUUGCAUUGGUGACUGCACGGCUAGAGUGUGUCAGAGGGGGGGUAGAAUUCCACGUGUAGCAGUGAAAUGCGUAGAGAUGUGGAGGAAUACCGAUGGCGAAGGCAGCCCCCUGGGAUAACACUGACGCUCAUGCACGAAAGCGUGGGGAGCAAACAGGAUUAGAUACCCUGGUAGUCCACGCCCUAAACGAUGUCAACUAGUUGUUGGGGAUUCAUUUCCUUAGUAACGUAGCUAACGCGUGAAGUUGACCGCCUGGGGAGUACGGUCGCAAAGAUUA
Molecule: ribosomal RNA, 373 nt
Filed under: uncultured organism
Description: partial 16S ribosomal RNA
Rfam family: Bacterial small subunit ribosomal RNA
Source: RNAcentral